GUCUACAGCCAUGCUACCCUGAACAAGCCCAAUCCCGUCUGAUCUCAGAAGCUAAGCAGGGUCGGACCUGGUUAGUACUUGGAUGGGAAACUACCUAGGAAGACCAGGUGCUAUAGGCA
Molecule: ribosomal RNA, 119 nt
Filed under: Pteropus alecto (black flying fox)
Lineage: Eukaryota; Metazoa; Chordata; Mammalia; Chiroptera; Pteropodidae
Source: RNAcentral